GGACCCCCCCCCUUCCCGGCCCGCCCCCGCCGUAGGCCGUACUCAGCAGGCCCGGCCCUGCGGCCUACCCCGAACGGAGACCCCGGCCCGGCCGUGCGGCCUACCCCGACCCCGACCCCGACCCGGUCCUGCGACCUACCUCGAACCGAGGGCCCGGCCCGGCCUGGCCGCCCCUCCUCCCCCGCCCCGGGCCCUCUCGCCCCUCCGUACCGGGGAAGGCCGCGGGGGGGCGGAGCGGGGCUGCAGGGAACGGCGGAAUCGAUCGCAGCGCCGGAACCGGGAGGCGGAGGCCGAGGGGCUGCGGGGCUGCACCGGGGCGAACCCCCUCCCAACCCCCCCCCCCUCCGCAUCCCACCCCGCUGGGGGUGUCGGGGCGCGGGGCUGCACCCCAUGGAGGGGAAGUUCCUCCAGCCGAAGAUGGGGGCGACUUCGGGUUCACUGUAGUGGAGCAUUUUCACUUCCGAGUCGCUCAGCCCAAAGUCCCACAUGUAGACGUCGGACAUCUCCCCCGUGAAGGACUGCAGAACGUCGAAGCCUCCCCCGUAGGCGUCCUGCUCCUGCCCCAGCACCACCACGGCCUCGUUGCCCACCACGUAGCCCUUCUGCAGCCCUUUGCGGGGCCACGGGCGCCCGUUGAGCCAGAAGCGCACGAUGCCGCUGGGUGACUCCCAGGUGACGCAGACGUGCUCUGGGUCCAUAUAGUUCUCGGGGAUGUGGAAGGCGACGUAUUUCCCCCCCACGUAGAAGUGGUACUCGGUGGGUUUGAAUUUGAGGAGGAGGAUCUCGUUGUCCUGCUCCUUGGUGGCGUAGGAGAAGAGGCUGUGGGGCCGGGUGAGGUCGGUGUAGGAGCGCAGGCACACGGUGAAGUUGAGCAGGGGGUGCUCUGGCCGUGCCUGCAGCAGCACGUAGGAAUCGUUGGACGCUUGGGGGAACACGAACACUCUGUACUUCAGGUCUGGGAGAGGUGAGAAAAAAGUCAGUGUCCCUCACAGAGGGAAACUAUCAGACGGGGAAGUGGCCACUCUUAGCCCAGAGGUGGCUUCCAGCAUCUCGAGGUGCAGCCACGGGAGGGCUGGUGACCCAGGGUGACAUUGGCACGGGGUGGCGAGGAGGAGCUGGGAGAAGGAGGGCACGGCUGGGGACAGGUUUUCCCCUCCUUACCGUCUAUCCAAAGGUUGUAGGUGGCCACGGCGGUGCCCUGGGGGCUGCUGACCUUGCAGGUGUAGGUGCCCAGGUGGGUUUUGUUUAAGGAGCGGAAGAGGAGGAUAUCACUGGGGCCUUUCUGCAGCGGUUUGUGGAUCCCUUUCUUCUCCCACACGAACUCCUUGGGGCUGUGUGGGGCUCGGUGUCACCCAGGCCUGGGGUUGCCCGUGGGGUGGCCGUGCCGUGGGGUGGAGGGGUUGGGGGGGGAUGCCUUACCCGGGGUCCCCGGAGACCUUGCAGCUCAGCACCAGGCUGUGGUACAUAGAGGGCACUAUGGGGGAGCUCUGGAUCUGGGCGCUCAUUUUGGCUGCGGCACCUGGACAGAAGGACGGCGCUGAGGUGGGGGGGUUUCAUCGCCCUGCCACCCCCCAUCACAGCCCACGUCCCCACGUGUGCCCCUUUUGUGAUGUCCGGCGUUGUAUCCCUGCUGUGCCGCGUUGCUCAGUGCCACCACCCCGUGUGUCCCCCUGUCGUCGUCCCCCGACCCCCUAUGGGAUCUUUCACCCCUACCAUCUGUGGCAGAGAGGCUGCAGAGCCCCACGAGGAAGGAGAGGAGGCAGAAGCGUGGCGUCCCCAUGACCCCACCUCAGUGACAAUGGCAGAGGCACCGCUCCAGGGGACUUCCCAGAAGGAAGGCACUCCCACCUGAUUUUCUCCCUGGACUGCGAGGGCACUGACCCACGUGUCGCUGUGUGGACAUUGGCCCCGCAUCCCACAGGUGGACGUCCGCCAUCUCCCCCGUGAACGAGUUGUAGACGUCGAAGCCUCCCCCGUAGGCGUCCUGCUCCUGCCCCAGCAUCACCACGGCCUCGUUGCCCACCUCGUAGCCCUUCUGCAGCCCUUUGCGGGGCCACGGGCGCCCGUUGAGCCAGAACUCGGCGAUGCCGCUGCCCGACUCCCAGCUGGCGCAGACGUGUUCCCAUUCCCCGCGGUUCUCGGGGACGCGGAAGAAGGCAGUGAGGAGCAGCACGAGGGGCGCGAGGCAGCAGUGCAGCCCCCCCAGCGCCGUGCUCAGCCCCAGCGCGAAAUCAAAGCUCUCAAAGGCACUGCAGGUGAGCGGCAUCACCCCCACCUCCAGCAGGAGCUCCACCACCACCACCACCCCAUAGGGUGCCCACAACCCCCAGAACAGCCACCCCACCCCGCGCCCCAUCGCACCCCGCAUCCCCCUCAGCACCGCAGCCGUCAGCAGCGCUCCGGGCAGCAGCAGAAGGACGCAGCAACACACGGUGAGCUGCAGCAGAUGCACAGCAGAGUCCACAUCCACGUUGCGCUGCACGCACUGCGCGCUCAGCCCCGUCCCCGCGGUGCCACCGCUCAGCGCCGCCGGCACCGCCAUCACCACCGCCGCCACCCAAAGGACCGCCUCCACGCACCAACCUCGGCCCCGCACACCGAACCCCCCGGCACCCAGCAGCAGCCCCUGUGCCAACACGCUGCCGUGCUGCAGCAGCAGCACAGCCCUGCACGGCCCCUCGCCCGCCCGCCACCCCCACGCGAUGCCCGCGGCCGUCGGCGGCAGGGUGAUGGCGAACAGCCCGCAGCACGCGGCCAGUUGGGCCACCAACGCGCGGCCACGGGGCCAGGCGUGGGGACGCAGGGCCAGGGCCAGCAGCAGGGCAGCCGUGGCCACGAGGGCGGUGGCAGCGGUGGCGGCCAGGAAGGGCGGUGCGGCGCGGUAGAAGAAGGGGCAGUAGCGGUUGUGGCACGGCUCUGCGGCCACAAAGUCCUCAUAGUUGCUGUCCGUGUCGUCGUCUGUGUAGCCCUCAUCGUAGAUGGAGUUGAAGAGGUCCACGAGGAACGAGGAGGUUCUGUUCACCACGAUUUCAGGGCUCUGUGAAGGACAGGAGGUGCCGUGUGCUGCGGGGUGACGCUGAGUUGGCCCCUCCGGUGGCCACGUGCCGCGCUUUAUCAGGGAGGGACAGUGUGGGGAGUGCUGAUAUCUCAGGGUGUGGUUUCAUCCCAAGCCAAGAAAACCCGUUUUCUUGCACUCAGUGGUGUUUUCCAGUUCCAGGACUCGUUGCUAUGCACCCCUCCCUGGGGGGGAGGUGGUGUUGGGUACCCUAUGGGGUCAGGGUUGGGUACCCAAUGGGAGUGGGGUUG
RNAcentral lists this long non-coding RNA (3306 nucleotides) under Gallus gallus (chicken). Lineage: Eukaryota; Metazoa; Chordata; Aves; Galliformes; Phasianidae. The record is from RNAcentral.